GACAAGUUCAGAAGUUCAGAGUCCUCCUUGU
This 31-nucleotide non-coding RNA is filed under the name Rattus norvegicus (Norway rat). Lineage: Eukaryota; Metazoa; Chordata; Mammalia; Rodentia; Muridae. The record is from RNAcentral.